This 427-nucleotide ribosomal RNA is filed under the name uncultured bacterium. Its description in RNAcentral is "partial 16S ribosomal RNA". It matches the Rfam family "Bacterial small subunit ribosomal RNA", at positions 355 to 774 of the family's 1533-position model. The record is from RNAcentral.
UGGGGAAUAUUGCACAAUGGGCGCAAGCCUGAUGCAGCCAUGCCGCGUGUAUGAAGAAGGCCUUCGGGUUGUAAAGUACUUUCAGCGGGGAGGAAGGUGUUGUGGUUAAUAACCACAGCAAUUGACGUUACCCGCAGAAGAAGCACCGGCUAACUCCGUGCCAGCAGCCGCGGUAAUACGGAGGGUGCAAGCGUUAACCGGAAUUACUGGGCGUAAAGCGCACGCAGGCGGUCUGUCAAGUCGGAUGUGAAAUCCCCGGGCUCAACCUGGGAACUGCAUCCGAAACUGGCAGGCUUGAGUCUUGUAGAGGGGGGUAGAAUUCCAGGUGUAGCGGUGAAAUGCGUAGAGAUCUGGAGGAAUACCGGUGGCGAAGGCGGCCCCCUGGACAAAGACUGACGCUCAGGUGCGAAAGCGUGGGGAGCAAACA